RNAcentral lists this long non-coding RNA (200 nucleotides) under Elaeis guineensis (African oil palm). RNAcentral's name for it is "long non-coding RNA (EGUI_LNC058871)". The record is from RNAcentral. Lineage: Eukaryota; Viridiplantae; Streptophyta; Magnoliopsida; Arecales; Arecaceae.
AUCCUGGAGAAAUCAGGCGGGACAAGGGGCGAAAGGUUUGCGGGGGACCAAACCGGAGGAAUGCGAUAGAAGAAAAAUAGAGGAGAAAAGGCCCCUAAAUGGCAAGAAGAGGAACGAAAGUUUCGGGACUAACCUAGAUCAUUCCGAAGGAUGCAGAGGGGCGAGGAUAGGGAUGACUCGAAGAACGCCUAGGGCCAAGG